GACGAACGCUGGCGGCGUGCCUAAUACAUGCAAGUCGAGCGGACGAUUCGAAAGCUUGCUUUUGAUUCGUUAGCGGCGGACGGGUGAGUAACACGUGGGCAACCUGCCCUGUAGACGGGGAUAACACCGAGAAAUCGGUGCUAAUACCGGAUAACACGAAAUGUCGCAUGACGUCUCGUUGAAAGACGGCGCAAGCUGUCGCUACAGGAUGGGCCCGCGGCGCAUUAGCUAGUUGGUGAGGUAACGGCUCACCAAGGCGACGAUGCGUAGCCGACCUGAGAGGGUGAUCGGCCACACUGGGACUGAGACACGGCCCAGACUCCUACGGGAGGCAGCAGUAAGGAAUCUUCCGCAAUGGACGAAAGUCUGACGGAGCAACGCCGCGUGAGCGAAGAAGGCCUUCGGGUCGUAAAGCUCUGUUGUUAGGGAAGAACAAGUAACGCAGUAACUGGCGUUACCGUGACGGUACCUAACGAGAAAGCCACGGCUAACUACGUG
This 498-nucleotide ribosomal RNA is filed under the name uncultured bacterium. Its description in RNAcentral is "partial 16S ribosomal RNA". It matches the Rfam family "Bacterial small subunit ribosomal RNA", at positions 28 to 507 of the family's 1533-position model. The record is from RNAcentral.